Psammomys obesus (fat sand rat) is the source of this 713-nucleotide long non-coding RNA. RefSeq lists it as uncharacterized. The transcript has 5 exons. Lineage: Eukaryota; Metazoa; Chordata; Mammalia; Rodentia; Muridae. The record is from RefSeq and is a predicted model, not a curated record.
CCUCGUCCUUUCCGAGCUUGUGCCGCGUGUCGGGAAGUUAUGGCUGCUUCGGUCCGUGGUGCAUACUCACUGAAUAGCCUGGGGGUUCGGGUGUUGGCAUUACAUUGGCACCUGAGGGGACACGCUGCAGGUUCGUCCCGGAAGUAAUGGCCGGAUCCCUGAGAGUAAAUGGUCCAGGUGUGGUCACCACGGGAGAAGGUAGAUGGUGGGCAUCUGCCUCAUGACACUUCAUUUUGAAGCUCAGCUAGAAGACUGCCUGUUGAACCCUGAGCCCAUUUAGUCUUUUCAGAGUGGAGCUGUUGGCUCCUGGAGACAACCGUUGUAUAAGAUGUGGCACAUAGAGCCUCCAUGAUGACUCUGCAUGGUACAGGCUCAGCCCCCGUUUCUGGGCCUGCGAAGGAUGUUGUGGAAAGCCACAGGACCCAGAAUGAUACGAGUAAGCAGAAGAGCUUCCCACAUAGCUGGUGCAAGGUUAUUGCCUUGUAGUGCCAGAGAGAACCUGCUGCCGCUCUCCCAAAGAGAGAGCAGGACAAAGUCAACUGUCUACAUUCACCUUGGGAGGCCUUUGGCAGCUGGUGAAGGCGCCCAGACAGGAGGCACUGGGGAGGCAGGUGUUCAGCCUGGAACACAGUUCCCACAGUGAAUUUCCUGGGAAGUUGAUUGAUUGACUUUGUGUUGUGAAGUACAAAUAAAGUUUAUAAACUUUGACUCAG